This 897-nucleotide ribosomal RNA is filed under the name Acremonium alternatum. Its description in RNAcentral is "LSU rRNA". It matches the Rfam family "Eukaryotic large subunit ribosomal RNA", at positions 38 to 964 of the family's 3401-position model. Lineage: Eukaryota; Fungi; Ascomycota; Sordariomycetes; Hypocreales; Bionectriaceae. The record is from RNAcentral.
GCAUAUCAAUAAGCGGAGGAAAAAGAAACCAACAGGGAUUGCCCUAGUAACGGCGAAGUGAAGCGGCAACAGCUCAAAUUUGAAAUCUGGCCUCACGGUCCGAGUUUGUAAUUUGUAGAGGAUGCUUCUGGCGACGUGCCUUCCGAGUUCCCUGGAACGGGACGCCAUAGAGGGUGAGAGCCCCGUCCGGUCGUGCACCUAGCCUCUGUGAAGCUCCUUCGACGAGUCGAGUAGUUUGGGAAUGCUGCUCUAAAUGGGAGGUAUACGUCUUCUAAAGCUAAAUACCGGCCAGAGACCGAUAGCGCACAAGUAGAGUGAUCGAAAGAUGAAAAGCACUUUGAAAAGAGGGUUAAAUAGUACGUGAAAUUGCUGAAAGGGAAGCGCUUAUGACCAGACUUGGGCUCGGUGAAUCAUCCGGCGUUCUCGCCGGUGCACUUUGCCGUCCCAGGCCAGCAUCAGUUCGCGCCGGGGGAUAAAGGUUUCGGGAACGUGGCUCCCUCGGGAGUGUUAUAGCCCGUUGCGUAAUACCCUGGCGUGGACUGAGGUCCGCGCUCUGCAAGGAUGCUGGCGUAAUGGUCAUCAGUGACCCGUCUUGAAACACGGACCAAGGAGUCGUCUUCGUAUGCGAGUGUUCGGGUGUCAAACCCCUACGCGUAAUGAAAGUGAACGUAGGAGAGAGCUUCGGCGCAUCUCCGACCGAUCCUGAUGUUCUCGGAUGGAUUUGAGUAAGAGCAUACGGGGCCGGACCCGAAAGAAGGUGAACUAUGCCUGUAUAGGGUGAAGCCAGAGGAAAACUCUGGUGGAGGCUCGCAGCGGUUCUGACGUGCAAAUCGAUCGUCAAAUAUGGGCAUGGGGGCGAAAGACUAAUCGAACCUUCUAGUAGCUGGUUUCCGCCGA